CCUACGGGGGGCUGCAGUGGGGAAUAUUGGACAAUGGGGGGAACCCUGAUCCAGCCAUGCCGCGUGUGUGAAGAAGGCCCUCGGGUUGUAAAGCACUUUCAGUGAGGAAGAACGCCUGGUGGUUAAUACCCAUCAGGAAAGACAUCACUCACAGAAGAAGCACCGGCUAACUCCGUGCCAGCAGCCGCGGUAAUACGGAGGGUGCGAGCGUUAAUCGGAAUUACUGGGCGUAAAGCGCGCGUAGGUGGCUUGAUAAGCCGGUUGUGAAAGCCCCGGGCUCAACCUGGGAACGGCAUCCGGAACUGUCAAGCUAGAGUGCAGGAGAGGAAGGUAGAAUUCCCGGUGUAGCGGUGCAAUGCGUAGAGAUCGGGAGGAAUACCAGUGGCGAAGGCGGCCUUCUGGACUGACACUGACACUGAGGUGCGAAAGCGUGGGUAGCAAACAGGAUUAGAUACCCGGGUAGUC
Molecule: ribosomal RNA, 465 nt
Filed under: Vreelandella stevensii
Lineage: Bacteria; Pseudomonadati; Pseudomonadota; Gammaproteobacteria; Oceanospirillales; Halomonadaceae
Description: partial 16S ribosomal RNA
Rfam family: Bacterial small subunit ribosomal RNA
Source: RNAcentral